RNAcentral lists this ribosomal RNA (497 nucleotides) under uncultured bacterium. Its description in RNAcentral is "partial 16S ribosomal RNA". It matches the Rfam family "Bacterial small subunit ribosomal RNA", at positions 28 to 507 of the family's 1533-position model. The record is from RNAcentral.
GAUGAACGCUGGCGGCGUGCCUAAUACAUGCAAGUCGAGCGAACGGACGAGAAGCUUGCUUCUCUGAUGUUAGCGGCGGACGGGUGAGUAACACGUGGAUAACCUACCUAUAAGACUGGGAUAACUUCGGGAAACCGUAGCUAAUACCGGAUAAUAUUUUGAACCGCAUGGUUCAAAAGUUAAAGACGGUCUUGCUGUCACUUAUAGAUGGAUCCGCGCUGCAUUAGCUAGUUGGUAAGGUAACGGCUUACCAAGGCAACGAUGCAUAGCCGACCUGAGAGGGUGAUCGGCCACACUGGAACUGAGACACGGUCCAGACUCCUACGGGAGGCAGCAGUAGGGAAUCUUCCGCAAUGGGCGAAAGCCUGGCGGAGCAACGCCGCGUGAGUGAUGAAGGUCUUCGGAUCGUAAAACUCUGUUAUUAGGGAAGAACAUAUGUGUAAGUAACUGUGCACAUCUUGACGGUACCUAAUCAGAAAGCCACGGCUAACUACGUG